Molecule: ribosomal RNA, 492 nt
Filed under: uncultured bacterium
Lineage: Bacteria
Description: bacterial SSU rRNA
Rfam family: Bacterial small subunit ribosomal RNA
Source: RNAcentral
AGCGAACGUUAGCGGCGCGCCUAACACAUGCAAGUCGCACGAGAAACGGAGCAAUCCGCGGUACAGUGGCGCACGGGUGAGUAACACGUGGAUGACCUUCCCUGGAGUGGUGGAUAACCUGCCGAAAGGCGGGCUAAUACAGCAUGGGACCACGACGCUUUGGCGAUGUGGUGAAAGCGGGCCUCUAUAUAUAAGCUCGCGCUCCGGGACGGGUCCGCGUCCCAUCAGCUAGUUGGUGAGGUAACGGCUCACCAAGGCAACGACGGGUAGCUGGUCUGAGAGGAUGGCCAGCCACACUGGAACUGAGACACGGUCCAGACUCCUACGGGAGGCAGCAGUGGGGAAUCUUGCGCAAUGGGCGAAAGCCUGACGCAGCGACGCCGCGUGGGCGAAGAAGGCCUCGGUGUAAGCCUGUGGGNGAGACGUACGGGCGGACGACCUCCGUCGCCUGACGGUACGUCCUUUACGUCAAGCAUCGGCUAACUCUGUGCC